Molecule: ribosomal RNA, 495 nt
Filed under: uncultured bacterium
Lineage: Bacteria
Description: bacterial SSU rRNA
Rfam family: Bacterial small subunit ribosomal RNA
Source: RNAcentral
GAUGAACGCUAGCGGCAGGCUUAAUACAUGCAAGUCGAGGGGCAGCACGAAUAGCAAUAUUUGGUGGCGACCGGCGCACGGGUGCGUAACACGUAUACAACCUACCUAUAACAGGGGGAUAGCCUUUCGAAAGAGAGAUUAAUACCCCGUAAUAAAUUGAGUGGCAUCACUUGAUUUUGAAAGCUACGGCGGUUAUAGAUGGGUAUGCGUCUGAUUAGCUAGUUGGUGAGGUAACGGCUCACCAAGGCGACGAUCAGUAGGGGAUCUGAGAGGACUAACCUCCACACUGGUACUGAGACACGGACCAGACUCCUACGGGAGCAGCAGUAAGGAUAUUGGUCAAUGGAGGCAACUCUGAACCAGCCAUGCCGCGUGCAGGAUGACGGCCCUAUGGGUUGUAAACUGCUUUUAUACAAGAGAAAACCCUGGUACGUGUACCAGGUUGAUAGUAUUGUAAGAAUAAGCAUCGGCUAACUUCGUGCCAGCAGCCGACGG